This 611-nucleotide ribosomal RNA is filed under the name Rhodobacteraceae bacterium 100L. Its description in RNAcentral is "bacterial SSU rRNA". It matches the Rfam family "Bacterial small subunit ribosomal RNA", at positions 171 to 816 of the family's 1533-position model. Lineage: Bacteria; Pseudomonadati; Pseudomonadota; Alphaproteobacteria; Rhodobacterales; Paracoccaceae. The record is from RNAcentral.
GUAUGAGCCCUUCGGGGGAAAGAUUUAUCGCCAAAGGAUUAGCCCGCGUUAGAUUAGGUAGUUGGUGGGGUAAUGGCCUACCAAGCCUACGAUCUAUAGCUGGUUUUAGAGGAUGAUCAGCAACACUGGGACUGAGACACGGCCCAGACUCCUACGGGAGGCAGCAGUGGGGAAUCUUGGACAAUGGGCGCAAGCCUGAUCCAGCCAUGCCGCGUGAGUGAUGAAGGCCUUAGGGUCGUAAAGCUCUUUCGCCUGUGAAGAUAAUGACGGUAGCAGGUAAAGAAACCCCGGCUAACUCCGUGCCAGCAGCCGCGGUAAUACGGAGGGGGUUAGCGUUGUUCGGAAUUACUGGGCGUAAAGCGCACGUAGGCGGACUGGAAAGUAUGGGGUGAAAUCCCAGGGCUCAACCCUGGAACUGCCUCAUAAACUAUCAGUCUAGAGUUCGAGAGAGGUGAGUGGAAUUCCGAGUGUAGAGGUGAAAUUCGUAGAUAUUCGGAGGAACACCAGUGGCGAAGGCGGCUCACUGGCUCGAUACUGACGCUGAGGUGCGAAAGUGUGGGGAGCAAACAGGAUUAGAUACCCUGGUAGUCCACACCGUAAACGAUGAAUGC